This 468-nucleotide ribosomal RNA is filed under the name uncultured bacterium. RNAcentral describes it as "partial 16S ribosomal RNA". It matches the Rfam family "Bacterial small subunit ribosomal RNA", at positions 28 to 507 of the family's 1533-position model. The record is from RNAcentral.
GACGAACGCUGGCGGCGUGCUUAACACAUGCAAGUCGAACGGAAAGGCCCUGCUUUUGUGGGGUGCUCGAGUGGCGAACGGGUGAGUAACACGUGAGUAACCUGCCCUUGACUUUGGGAUAACUUCAGGAAACUGGGGCUAAUACCGGAUAGGAGCUCCUGCUGCAUGGUGGGGGUUGGAAAGAUUCGGCGGUUGGGGAUGGACUCGCGGCUUAUCAGCUUGUUGGUGGGGUAGUGGCUUACCAAGGCUUUGACGGGUAGCCGGCCUGAGAGGGGGACCGGCCACAUUGGGACUGAGAUACGGCCCAGACGCCUACGGGAGGCAGCAGUGGAGAAUAUUGCACAAUGGGCGGAAGCCUGAUGCAGCAACGCCGCGUGCGGGAUGACGGCCUUCGGGUUGUAAACCGCUUUCGCCUGUGACGAAGCGUGAGUGACGGUAAUGGGUAAAGAAGCACCGGCUAACUACGUG